UAAGUUAUGUGCGGACGACAAAACAAGA
RNAcentral lists this small RNA (28 nucleotides) under Bombyx mori (domestic silkworm). Its description in RNAcentral is "ovarian small RNA-19458". The record is from RNAcentral. Lineage: Eukaryota; Metazoa; Arthropoda; Insecta; Lepidoptera; Bombycidae.